CGUAGUGACUGCGGAGGAUCAUUACCGAGUGAGGGCCCUCUGGGUCCACCUCCCACCCGUGUUUAUUUUACCUUGUUGCUUCGGCGAGCCUGCCUUUUGGCUGCCGGGGGACGUCUGUCCCCGGGUCCGCGCUCGCCGAAGACACCUUAGAACUCUGUCUGAAGAUUGUAGUCUGAGAUUAAAUAUAAAUUAUUUAAAACUUUCAACAACGGAUCUCUUGGUUCCGGCAUCGAUGAAGAACGCAGCGAAAUGCGAUACGUAAUGUGAAUUGCAGAAUUCAGUGAAUCAUCGAGUCUUUGAACGCACAUUGCGCCCUCUGGUAUUCCGGAGGGCAUGCCUGUCCGAGCGUCAUUGCUGCCCUCAAGCACGGCUUGUGUGUUGGGCUCCGUCCUCCUUCCGGGGGACGGGCCCGAAAGGCAGCGGCGGCACCGCGUCCGGUCCUCAAGCGUAUGGGGCUUUGUCACCCGCUUUGUAGGACUGGCCGGCGCCUGCCGAUCAACCAAACUUUUUUCCAGGUUGACCUCGGAUCAGGUAGGGAUACCCGCUGAACUUAAGCAUAUCAAUAAGCGGAGGAAAAGAAACCAACAGGGAUUGCCCCAGUAACGGCGAGUGAAGCGGCAAGAGCUCAAAUUUGAAAGCUGGCUCCUUCGGGGUCCGCAUUGUAAUUUGCAGAGGAUGCUUCGGGAGCGGUCCCCAUCUAAGUGCCCUGGAACGGGACGUCAUAGAGGGUGAGAAUCCCGUAUGGGAUGGGGUGUCCGCGCCCGUGUGAAGCUCCUUCGACGAGUCGAGUUGUUUGGGAAUGCAGCUCUAAAUGGGUGGUAAAUUUCAUCUAAAGCUAAAUAUUGGCCGGAGACCGAUAGCGCACAAGUAGAGUGAUCGAAAGAUGAAAAGCACUUUGAAAAGAGAGUUAAAAAGCACGUGAAAUUGUUGAAAGGGAAGCGCUUGCGACCAGACUCGCUCGCGGGGUUCAGCCGGCAUUCGUGCCGGUGUACUUCCCCGCGAGCGGGCCAGCGUCGGUUUGGGCGGUCGGUCAAAGGCCUCUGGAA
RNAcentral lists this ribosomal RNA (1046 nucleotides) under Penicillium brevicompactum. RNAcentral describes it as "eukaryotic LSU rRNA". The stretch from base 518 to 1046 matches the Rfam family "Eukaryotic large subunit ribosomal RNA", at positions 1 to 534 of the family's 3401-position model. Lineage: Eukaryota; Fungi; Ascomycota; Eurotiomycetes; Eurotiales; Aspergillaceae. The record is from RNAcentral.